This 494-nucleotide long non-coding RNA is filed under the name Equus caballus (horse). RNAcentral's name for it is "lncRNA (ENSECAG00000044777.1)". The record is from RNAcentral. Lineage: Eukaryota; Metazoa; Chordata; Mammalia; Perissodactyla; Equidae.
GGCAAGGAAAGCCAGAGGCGCAGAACAUUCUCCAGAGGCUACUGUGGGGGCCAAGACUCCAACUGGCUAUCUGGACACCUGGACUUGAAUCCCAGUUCGGCCACCCAAGUUUCCAGCAAACCGGAAAAACCUAACACGAGGAAAAAGACAACAGACACCAACCCCAAGAAGAUGCAGAUGUUGGAAUUCUCAGAGAGAGGCUUUAAAGCAGCCAUUAUAACCAGGCUCCGAGAAGUAACAACAAACACACUUGAAGUGAAUAGAAAGAGAAUCUCAGCAGAGAAAUACUAAAAAGGACCAAAUGGAAACUUUAGAACUGAAAAAUACAAUAACCAAAAUGAAAAAUUCACUGGAUGGGCACAAUACCAGAAUGGGCCACAGGACAUGAAGCUCCACAGGUAGCCCCUAGGGUUCCUUAGGCUUGGAAGGGUAAGGUCGGGGCACUAAGGCCAGCACCAAACCAAGGGGCUUCGGUCCAGGAGCCCUUGCUGCUG